UCGAAUGUGAGAUUUGUGCCGAAA
RNAcentral lists this non-coding RNA (24 nucleotides) under Arabidopsis thaliana (thale cress). Lineage: Eukaryota; Viridiplantae; Streptophyta; Magnoliopsida; Brassicales; Brassicaceae. The record is from RNAcentral.